RNAcentral lists this ribosomal RNA (497 nucleotides) under uncultured bacterium. RNAcentral describes it as "partial 16S ribosomal RNA". It matches the Rfam family "Bacterial small subunit ribosomal RNA", at positions 28 to 507 of the family's 1533-position model. The record is from RNAcentral.
GAUGAACGCUGGCGGCGUGCCUAAUACAUGCAAGUCGAGCGAACAGACCAGGAGCUUGCUCCUCUGACGUUAGCGGCGGACGGGUGAGUAACACGUGGAUAACCUACCUAUCAUACGGGUAUAACUUCGGGAAACCGGCGCUAAUACCGUAUAAUAUCCUGAACCGUAUGGUUCAAUAGUGAAAUACGGUUGUGCUGUCACUUAUCGAUGGAUCCCCGCCGGAUUGGCUAGUUGGGAAGGUCACGGCUUACCAAGGCAACGAUGCGUAGCCGACCUGGGAGGGUGAUAGGCCACACUGGAGCUGAGACACGGUCAAGGCUCCUGCGGGAGGCAGCAGUAGGGAACGUUCCGCAAUGGUCGAAAGCCUGACGGAGCAACGCCGCGUGAGUGAUGAAGGUCUUCGGAUCGUAAAGCUCUGUUAUUAGGGAAGAACAAAUGUGUAAGUAACUAUGCACGUCUUGACGGUACCUAAUCAGAAAGCCACGGCUAACUACGUG